This 469-nucleotide long non-coding RNA is filed under the name Setaria viridis. RNAcentral describes it as "long non-coding RNA (SVIR_LNC008702)". Lineage: Eukaryota; Viridiplantae; Streptophyta; Magnoliopsida; Poales; Poaceae. The record is from RNAcentral.
UUGGGGCCAGCCAGGAGGUGUGGCACCAGGGGGAGGUGACGACGGGUGCCAGGAAGAAGAAAGAGGAGGAGAGAGAAGAAGGAAGGAGGAAGGAGGAAGAAGAAAGAGAAAGAAAGAAGAAGGAAAAAGAAAAGGAAAAAGGGGGGAAGGAAAAAGAGAAAGAAAAGAGAGGGACCGACGGCGAUUGCGGCACGCAGUCGGAGCAUGCGCACGACGGUCUGACGACGGCACGCGGCGAGAUUUACGGGCACAGACAAAAGAUGGGUGGGGGUCGGCAUGGGUGUCGGGACGGCGAAAUUGUCGGGGAGAUUUCCGAUUUCCGGGAGCUCAACGGUAAAAAGAUUUUGAAGACGGUUUUUAACGGGUGAUUUUAGUUGGUGAUUUCUGCGGAUGUUACAAACCUACCCCACUUAAAUUGAAUCUCGUCCUCGAGAUCCGACUGAGUCCUGAAGAGAUGGGGAAAUUCUUU